This 500-nucleotide ribosomal RNA is filed under the name uncultured bacterium. Its description in RNAcentral is "partial 16S ribosomal RNA". It matches the Rfam family "Bacterial small subunit ribosomal RNA", at positions 30 to 523 of the family's 1533-position model. The record is from RNAcentral.
AUUGAACGCUGGCGGCAUGCUUUACACAUGCAAGUCGAACGGUAACGGGUCCUUCGGGAUGCCGACGAGUGGCGGACGGGUGAGUAAUAUAUCGGAACGUGCCCAGUAGUGGGGGAUAACUGCUCGAAAGAGCAGCUAAUACCGCAUACGACCUGAGGGUGAAAGGGGGGGAUCGCAAGACCUCUCGCUAUUGGAGCGGCCGAUAUCAGAUUAACUAGUUGGUGGGGUAAAGGCUUACCAAGGCAACGAUCUGUAGUUGGUCUGCGAGGACGCCCAGACACACUGGGACUGAGACACGGCCCAGACUCCUACGGGAGGCAGCAGUGGGGAAUUUUGGACAAUGGGCGCAAGCCUGAUCCAGCAAUGCCGCGUGCAGGAAGAAGGCCUUCGGGUUGUAAACUGCUUUUGUCAGGGAAGAAAUCUUCUGGGCUAAUACCCCGGGAGGAUGACGGUACCUGAAGAAUAAGCACCGGCUAACUACGUGCCAGCCGCCGCGGUAA